AUGGUUGCUAGCAAGCCAGAGGAGGCGUUGGUUGGUGCCUUCAAGAAGAACAAGGAGACUGCCCUUGUGGUUGCUGAUCCUGCUGCUGCGCUUGCUGGGUUGGAGGUCACCACUUUGCCGCCAGCCGAGGCCACUAAACCAACAUUCAUUGGGGUUGAGGGAUUUGAGGGUGACUACGGUGGAAUUGAGUUUGGCAAUGAGGAAGCUUCACUGGCUGAGGCAUUUGAGGGCUUCAAUGCGCCAUUUGGGGGUGGGCUUGAUGCUUCUGAGUUUGUUACCACAACCAAGAAGGAUCACAAGGACAAGACCCUCACUGGUCUUGAGAUUCUAGCCAUGAGUGGUGGGCAGGCACCAAAUGCGCCUUCUGGUUCGCCACUUGACAGCUUGGUAACCCCGAGCAAAGAGAUGACCGUGCCUGAGUUGUGCAUCGUUGAGGAGAUCAAUGCUGAAUUCAACGAGUCUGUUCUUGCACGGGUUGGUCUGAAGGGUACAAUCAUUUUGCGGACCUUACCACCAAAGAAGGCAGCAGGGAGGGAGACAGAGUUCUCAUUCCGGCUUGAGGGUGCUUCUGGAAUGAAGAGGGCUGCCUUGCAGAGUACCGUGUUGAGCAGCCUCGAGAACGGCCUGUUCCAUGUGAAGACACCAUCGAAGGAGGAACCUAUCCCCAUCAUGAAAUACAGCUUCCUGCCCAAGCACUCACCUCUCCCCCUGAGGUUGCGUCUUGUAAAGCGCCACAGUGGUACAUUGCUCUCACUGAUGAUACACUAUGCGUCGAACCCGAUGUUGCCGCAGCCACUGAGCAAUGUUACAUUCAUUGUUAAGCUUCCUGUGGAUCCAACUCUGCUUAAUGUUUCGCCCAAGGCUGUGUUGAACCGGGCUGAGAGGGAACUCAGGUGGCACAUCUCAGACAUUCCUCUGAAAGGCCCCGCUGGACGGUUGAGAGCACGGAUGCCUGUGGAUCAAGACUCUAAAGAUGGCGAACUGGAGGUUGUUGGAAUGGUGAAGUUUGCUUACCAAGGGCCAUUCACUUUGUCGGGCAUCAAGCUCUGCCCAGCCAUCAAUAGCACUGCCCAAUUUAACGAAGUUGGCCACACUUUCUCCAGCGGGAGCUACCGUUGCAUCUGA
This 1125-nucleotide ribosomal RNA is filed under the name Triticum aestivum (bread wheat). RNAcentral describes it as "partial small subunit ribosomal RNA". The record is from RNAcentral. Lineage: Eukaryota; Viridiplantae; Streptophyta; Magnoliopsida; Poales; Poaceae.